This 609-nucleotide ribosomal RNA is filed under the name uncultured bacterium. RNAcentral describes it as "bacterial SSU rRNA". It matches the Rfam family "Bacterial small subunit ribosomal RNA", at positions 93 to 737 of the family's 1533-position model. The record is from RNAcentral.
UAGUGGCAGACGGGUGAGUAACGCGUGGGAACGUGCCUUUCACUACGGAAUAGCUCUUGGAAACGAGUGGUAAUACCGUAUACGCCCUCCGGGGGAAAGAUUUAUCGGUGAAAGAUCGGCCCGCGUUAGAUUAGCUUGUUGGUGAGGUAAUGGCUCACCAAGGCGACGAUCUAUAGCUGGUUUGAGAGGAUGAUCAGCCACACUGGGACUGAGACACGGCCCAGACUCCUACGGGAGGCAGCAGUGGGGAAUAUUGCGCAAUGGAGGAAACUCUGACGCAGCCAUGCCGCGUGAGUGAAGAAGGCCUUAGGGUUGUAAAGCUCUUUCAGACGUGAUGAUGAUGACAGUAGCGUCAAAAGAAGUUCCGGCUAACUUCGUGCCAGCAGCCGCGGUAAUACGAAGGGAACUAGCGUUGUUCGGAUUUACUGGGCGUAAAGAGCAUGUAGGCGGAUUGGACAGUUGAGGGUGAAAUCCCAGAGCUCAACUCUGGAACGGCCUUCAAUACUUCCAGUCUGGAGUCCGUAAGGGGGUGGUGGAAUUCCGAGUGUAGAGGUGAAAUUCGUAGAUAUUCGGAGGAACACCAGUGGCGAAGGCGACCACCUGGUACGG